Long non-coding RNA from Sinocyclocheilus rhinocerous, 711 nucleotides. RefSeq lists it as uncharacterized. NCBI's taxonomy places the organism in Eukaryota, Metazoa, Chordata, Actinopteri, Cypriniformes, Cyprinidae. The record is from RefSeq and is a predicted model, not a curated record. The transcript is spliced from 3 exons.
GGUGCGAGAUUGUGCGUGAAGAAACCACUCCUGCCGUUUAUGACUUUUUCAUAGGAGGACUCAUGUAUAAUGGAGAAGACAUUCACGGCAAUGACACUGAACAGAGAGAAUGCCUAAGGGGAAGAAAGGAUGUCCUCUAUUACCUUAUGUGCCAUUGGAGGGAAUUCACUUCACAGAGCUGGGAUUGGGACACGGGGAGGAAGAGAAAUCGCCAUGGGACGCCCAGCCGUAACAGACGGAGGAGCGUUGCGUCAGAAAGCAGAUUCAGGAGCACAGUGAAACUGGGACUGUGGGAAUUGGAAGUUGAAGUAGAGCAAACAGCGCUGAAGUAUUGCACACGCACACACAGGUCACAUACACACUGCAGCUAAAUAUAGUUGUCACUCCUGCAGAACAAAUGCUUCAUCUCGUUCUGUACACACAGAGUUCAGCCAUUUAUGGAAGUGACAAAUGCAUUCUAGAACCGAAUUCACUCCUGUAAACUUCAAGUAGCGACAACUACAUUAAACCCAUCUUUGAUAUAUAGAACCGAACUGGAAAACUAGCUCAGAAUCGUCUGCAACAAACCAACCUGGAAGCUCUAGCAAUGCUAAAGACCUGAAGAUACAUAAUUACACCAACCUUAACAUUUUUGAGAGUGACUACUGUAUUUUGUGCACCAGUGGCCAGUUGCAUAACAACUAGUGUCUUAACAACUAGUCUGCCCAACUA